CUUCAUUUUACUCACCUGAUGCAGUGGGCAGCUGUCAUCACCCAGUUGGUGGCAAUCAGGGUUCCCCCACAGGUGUGACUCCACUUGCCAUUGGAAUAGUAUUGAAGGGAGACCUGGGAUCAAGGAAACAAAUCAAGUUGCAAUGUGCUUCAGCAUGCCAGACUUCUUCAGCAAACCAGGCUCCAACCACUUUGAAGUGGAACUUCAAGCUUUGAAGCAAUGCUUCAAGCCAUACAAAGAAACAGCUGUCCAUGAAGAAGCUGAAUUGCUGGUAUGCUGUGGCCUGAACAGUUUUCCUUGGGCUCCAUGGGCGUCAGGCUGCUGGCAAUUCUGCCAGCAAAUAUCAAAUGGCUCAGCCUUCAGCUGAUACCAUGUUGGCUUGGAAAGAACCCCCUGGAAGCUCUUAUCAUCUUCAUGCCAGAUAUCUCACAGAAACUAAUCAGCUCAAGGAACUUUGGUGAGAGAGAGAAGGAGCUUCUGGUAUGUUCUGUUAAAGCAAACAGUAAAUAUCUCCCUCAAUACACAAUGUACAGUGUACAACUGAAAUGGA
Molecule: long non-coding RNA, 550 nt
Organism: Zonotrichia leucophrys gambelii
Lineage: Eukaryota; Metazoa; Chordata; Aves; Passeriformes; Passerellidae
Exons: 3
Source: RefSeq, a predicted model, not a curated record